This 253-nucleotide ribosomal RNA is filed under the name uncultured bacterium. RNAcentral's name for it is "partial 16S ribosomal RNA". It matches the Rfam family "Bacterial small subunit ribosomal RNA", at positions 524 to 776 of the family's 1533-position model. The record is from RNAcentral.
UACGUAGGGUGCGAGCGUUAUUCGGAAUUACUGGGCGUAAAGUGUGCGCAGGCGGCCGCGCAAGUCGAGUGUGAAAGCCCCGAGCUUAACUUGGGAACUGCGCUCGAAACUACGUGGCUGGAGUGUGGCAGAGGAAGGUGGAAUUCCAGGUGUAGCGGUGAAAUGCGUAGAGAUCUGGAGGAACACCGAUGGCGAAGGCAGCCUUCUGGGCCAACACUGACGCUCAUGCACGAAAGCGUGGGGAGCAAACAGG